GCGCAAUCCCUUGCCGUUUAAUUGACGGCCUGCAUCAAUGGCUUAACGAGCUUCCCGCUGUCUCGGACUGAUACCUAGUGAACUUAAUGUCCUGCGCACAUUCAGGAGUCCUCCAGUGGGACGAGAAAGUCUGACGGCUCUCAAUAAUUGAAUAAAGCCGUCUGGCCCUCGAAGACCCCGUGGAUCUUUACUACAGUCUGAUGUUGCGGUAUAGUAACGACUGUAUAGAGUAGGUG
RNAcentral lists this ribosomal RNA (236 nucleotides) under Deltaproteobacteria bacterium. Its description in RNAcentral is "partial 23S ribosomal RNA". It matches the Rfam family "Archaeal large subunit ribosomal RNA", at positions 2036 to 2226 of the family's 2987-position model. Lineage: Bacteria; Pseudomonadati; Myxococcota; Myxococcia. The record is from RNAcentral.